GACGUACUUCCUUCAUCCGGAAUUACUUGUCGCCGAAAUAGAUAAAACUGGAUGUAUUUAGAACUAAAAUAUAUCUAAAUACAUUCAUUUCUUUGACAAGUAUUUCUGGACGGAGGAAGUACGUA
This is a non-coding RNA of Triticum aestivum (bread wheat), 125 nucleotides long. The record is from Rfam. NCBI's taxonomy places the organism in Eukaryota, Viridiplantae, Streptophyta, Magnoliopsida, Poales, Poaceae.